GUGUCUGUUCACUCAUAACCAUCACCUGUGUUUCUGUCUCACUCUACCUGCACCUAUCUGCUUGUUAGUUUAGUUUGUAUUGAAGUCCAGUCUUUAGUUAAUUCUACGUUGAGUCAUUUGUCGUGUGUUUCCCCUGAUGUUCCUUUGCGUGCCGGGAUCCUGAAAUCAUCCGUCACGCCACCGGCCUGCUGUUGGCUGCAUUUGGGUCGACCUCUGAAGCUCAACAGGACUCCCAGCCUGUGAAGGAAGGGAAGACACAGAAUGAUGCCACCUCAUCCCCUCAUGCCUUGACUCCCUCCUGUUCCUGCGCCCCUCCCCCUCUCCCUGCAUCUAAUCCCCACCUGGCUGCCAUUGAGGUCAACAUCGUGGGGCUUAAAAUCAGACAGGUGGCUCUUCCUGCGACCUGGAUAUACUUAUCCCUUGAUCCCUGGUGACCCUGACAGGAAGUGGAUCGCUGGCCAAGUGACCCCCUCUGGUGGUCCUUCCUGUCCCCAUGUUGCCUCGCAGGAAGGAAGGAUGCGGUCUGUUGUCCUCAGGCACCGCUCACUUGCCCCCCCCCCCCAGCCUGACGAGAGAAACCAGAUUAUUGGUUCCAGGCUCGUCUCUCCCUGUGCAUACUUUUUUAUUCUUUUUUUGUCUCCUCUAUUUCCCAUCUUCUUUUCUCUGGUCUCAGCACCUACUUUAGCCCAGUUUGACAUCAUUUCUUCCUUCUUUCAUCGUCUCCUCCGUGCCCAUGUGAGAUCCCAGUAAACGCUGCGGACAAUGGUUAACCACAGAAGUCCCAAAUCCCAUUCAAUUGCACUCCAGGGGCUAACAAUACUUUUGAUUUAUAGUCCUCAUUUUAUGUAUCUCUGACACCGACUUGUUUACUUUUGUUAUUGUUGUUUUAUUGGCCAUUUAUUAACAUUAAAUAUGGCAUUCAUUUUCAUGUGGCAGAGAAAAUCCCAAAGUCAGGCUUCUGGGUUUAGUCUGCUCUGAAAUGAUGUACAUGCACGUUGUGAAUUACAGGACGCCAUUUGGUGGUAGUUAGGAGGAGAAGGGGACUUCCAGGCACACUGAGAAAAGAGACCUCUCGAACAACAUCAAACAGUGUUUUUAUUGUUCUUCUGGACGUAGUUUAAGAACAGGAACUCAAAACCGAAAAGGUGAGAAGGUCACGAAGAGCCUUUGCUCACCGCUCAGCUCAGACAUUGGUCGGUAAUUGUGAUGGUUAAGAGUGAGGACAGCAUUGUGCAAGAGGGGAAAAACUUCUCAUCUCCCGCGGGGGUAUCGGUGCUUAUCCAUGUUUUCUGUCUUGGUAACAUGAGCACAAGAUUUCAUGAGCGUGGUCACACUCUCCAUUGGAUGAUGAUGCAGGCAGAGCAGGUGGUAUACAUCAAUGCUGCAACCACAUAUGAUUACCGUCCACACUCUGGGCCGUCUCUCUGUAUAUGUAAGUGUCACUCAGCUGCAGGUGUGAGACAGCAUCUUUACACAGCACAUUACAGCUUCGAGCACAUUUAAUAUAGAUGCAAAUGACCAGCACAGUAAAAAGUGUAAAUGCAUCUGUCCAGUUUGAUAUUCAGUUUAAAAAUUAAAAAAAUAAUAAUAAUAAUUGUUUUUUUUUUAAGAACUGGUCAUUUUAUCUAUGUAAUACUCCCAACCUGGAAGCCGGGGUGUCUACACCUAUUUUAAGAAACAUGAAAAUGCAAAAUCUCUCCCGUAGGUCUCUCUGUCAUUUAGCAAACGUUAGAAGCAGUUACAAAGAAAUGUUGCGUGUUAGGCAUUAAACUUCGUCCCUUUCCUUGACAAGAGUUUGUAAGGAAAGCAAGCAAUGUUUUUGGAAGUCGUAUACUAAACUUAUGUGUUAAUUAAACACCUUUUAAUUGUUGGAUCAGAUUUUAAUAUGUAAUUAUAAUGGUGAAUAUGUUGGUAGUGUUUUUAAAAACUAUGAAUAAUAAAUAGAUUACAAUCUA
Molecule: long non-coding RNA, 1955 nt
Organism: Acanthopagrus latus (yellowfin seabream)
Lineage: Eukaryota; Metazoa; Chordata; Actinopteri; Spariformes; Sparidae
Exons: 2
Source: RefSeq, a predicted model, not a curated record